GAGUGAACGCUGGCGGUAGGCCUAACACAUGCAAGUCGAACGGCAGCCCAGUAAGAGCUUGCUCUUACGGGUGGCGAGUGGCGGACGGGUGCGGAAUACAUCGGAAUCUACUUUUUCGUGGGGGAUAACGUAGGGAAACUUACGCUAAUACCGCAUACGACCUACGGGUGAAAGCAGGGGAUCUUCGGACCUUGCGCGAUUGAAUGAGCCGAUGUCGGAUUAGCUAGUUGGCGGGGUAAAGGCCCACCAAGGCGACGAUCCGUAGCUGGUCUGAGAGGAUGAUCAGCCACACUGGAACUGAGACACGGUCCAGACUCCUACGGGAGGCAGCAGUGGGGAAUAUUGGACAAUGGGCGCAAGCCUGAUCCAGCCAUACCGCGUGGGUGAAGAAGGCCUUCGGGUUGUAAAGCCCUUUUGUUGGGAAAGAAAAGCAGCGGGUUAAUACCCCGCUGUUCUGACGGUACCCAAAGAAUAAGCACCGGCUAACUUCGUG
RNAcentral lists this ribosomal RNA (493 nucleotides) under uncultured bacterium. Its description in RNAcentral is "partial 16S ribosomal RNA". It matches the Rfam family "Bacterial small subunit ribosomal RNA", at positions 27 to 507 of the family's 1533-position model. The record is from RNAcentral.